This 490-nucleotide ribosomal RNA is filed under the name uncultured bacterium. RNAcentral's name for it is "partial 16S ribosomal RNA". It matches the Rfam family "Bacterial small subunit ribosomal RNA", at positions 29 to 505 of the family's 1533-position model. The record is from RNAcentral.
AGUGAACGCUGGCGGUAGGCCUAACACAUGCAAGUCGAACGGCAGCACAGUAAGAGCUUGCUCUUACGGGUGGCGAGUGGCGGACGGGUGAGGAAUACAUCGGAAUCUACUUUUUCGUGGGGGAUAACGUAGGGAAACUUACGCUAAUACCGCAUACGACCUACGGGUGAAAGCAGGGGAUCUUCGGACCUUGCGCGAUUGAAUGAGCCGAUGUCGGAUUAGCUAGUUGGCGGGGUAAAGGCCCACCAAGGCGACGAUCCGUAGCUGGUCUGAGAGGAUGAUCAGCCACACUGGAACUGAGACACGGUCCAGACUCCUACGGGGGGCAGCAGUGGGGAAUAUUGGACAAUGGGCGCAAGCCUGAUCCAGCCAUACCGCGUGGGUGAAGAAGGCCUUCGGGUUGUAAAGCCCUUUUGUUGGGAAAGAAAAGCAGCAGGUUAAUACCCCGCUGUUCUGACGGUACCCAAAGAAUAAGCACCGGCUAACUUUG